GGCUACAUAGCUCAGUGGUUAGAGCACUGGUCUUGUAAACCAGGUGUCGUGAGUUCAAAUCUCACUGGAGCCU
RNAcentral lists this transfer RNA (73 nucleotides) under Danionella translucida. It matches the Rfam family "tRNA". Rfam says of the family: Transfer RNA (tRNA) molecules are approximately 80 nucleotides in length. Their secondary structure includes four short double-helical elements and three loops (D, anti-codon, and T loops). The record is from Rfam by way of RNAcentral. Lineage: Eukaryota; Metazoa; Chordata; Actinopteri; Cypriniformes; Danionidae. RNAcentral also lists the same sequence under 1 other name.